GUCUGCGUGGAGCCGACCUUGAAAUACCACCCUUUAAUGUUUGAUGUUCUAACGUGGACCCGUGAUCCGGGUUGCGGACAGUGUCUGGUGGGUAGUUUGACUGGGGCGGUCUCCUCCUAAAGAGUAACGGAGGAGCACGAAGGUUGGCUAAUCUUGGUCGGACAUCAGGAGGUUAGUGCAAUGGCAUAAGCCAGCUUGACUGCGAGCGUGACGGCGCGAGCAGGUGCGAAAGCAGGUCAUAGUGAUCCGGUGGUUCUGAAUGGAAGGGCCAUCGCUCAACGGAUAAAAGGUACUCCGGGGAUAACAGGCUGAUACCGCCCAAGAGUUCAUAUCGACGGCGGUGUUUGGCACCUCGAUGUCGGCUCAUCACAUCCUGGGGCUGAAGUAGGUCCCAAGGGUAUGGCUGUUCGCCAUUUAAAGUGGUACGCGAGCUGGGUUUAGAACGUCGUGAGACAGUUCGGUCCCUAUCUGCCGUGGGCGCUGGAGAACUGAGGGGGGCUGCUCCUAGUACGAGAGGACCGGAGUGGACGCAUCACUGGUGUUCGGGUUGUCAUGCCAAUGGCACUGCCCGGUAGCUAAAUGCGGAAGAGAUAAGUGCUGAAAGCAUCUAAGCACGAAACUUGCCCCGAGAUGAGUUCUCCCUGAGACUUAAAGUCUCCUGAAGGAACGUUGAAGACGACGACGUUGAUAGGCCGGGUGUGUAAGCGCAGCGAUGCGUUGAGCUAACCGGUACUAAUGAACCGUGAGGCUUAACCUUACAACGCCGAAG
RNAcentral lists this ribosomal RNA (769 nucleotides) under Salmonella enterica subsp. enterica serovar Infantis. Its description in RNAcentral is "partial 23S ribosomal RNA". It matches the Rfam family "Bacterial large subunit ribosomal RNA", at positions 2174 to 2925 of the family's 2925-position model. Lineage: Bacteria; Pseudomonadati; Pseudomonadota; Gammaproteobacteria; Enterobacterales; Enterobacteriaceae. The record is from RNAcentral.